This 3331-nucleotide small RNA is filed under the name Rattus norvegicus (Norway rat). Its description in RNAcentral is "uncharacterized LOC102546835". Lineage: Eukaryota; Metazoa; Chordata; Mammalia; Rodentia; Muridae. The record is from RNAcentral.
UGCAGGCAAGAAGAUGGAACUGGAAAAUAUCAUCUGAAUGAGGACUGAAGUCAAGGACUGCUGUGGUUGAAUUAAGGAAAGGCUGGAAGAAGCUGAAGAGGUUGGCGACCCCAAAAGAAGACCAGAAGUCUCAACUCUCCCAGACUCCUGAGAUCUCUCAGACAUUGAGUCCCCAACCAGCAGCAUACAAGAACUGGUGGGAGGACCCUGACGCAUAUACAGCAGAGGACUGCCUGGUCUGGCCUCAGUGAGAGAAUCCUUGCCUAACCCUUUAGAGACUUGAGGACCCAGGAAGUGGGGAGACCUGGUCAGUGUCUUCGAGUAACUGUUGGUUGCCUUUGGUGGCCAGAUGAUGGUGUGAGAUCCCCUAAACUGGAUUUACUGACAUUUGUGAGUUGCCAUGUGGGUUCAGGAGAGUCAACCUGGUUUCUCUGGAAGAGGAGAUAGUCCUUUUUAUUACUGAGCCAUACCUCCGUUCCCUCUUUCAAAUUCUGUUUUUAAUUCUUCUCUCAUGUAUUACAGCCCAAAAAAGAGAUUUUUAUCUCUCCUCUCCUCAGGGUCAGUCUUCCCUACCUGUCUACUCCCCCCAAGACCUUUCCUGUAUUAUUGUCAUGUUUGUCUCUAAUGUAGUAUCUUGUUUGUUGAGUUUUGUUAUUUGGUUACACAGUCAUUGCUAAAAGAUUUGUCGUAAGAUUUAAAUUUGUGUUUUGUUUUUCAAACGAUUGUAAAGGAAAUUUAUUGUGUUUCCAAAAUAUUGUCAAUAUUAAAAUAUGAAAACUCUCUAUGUUUAUUUAGUGGUUCAGUGGUAGCUAUCAACACAGCAGAAUCCAAAAUCAGCUUGGAGGCAAGUCCUUCGGACAUCUCUGAGGGGUCAUCUUGUUGUUUGAAGAACCAUCUUAAUUGUAACUAAGAACAUCCCCUGGGUGGAAAAUCCUGUAUUGCAUAAAAUGAUGAAGGCAGGAGAAAUGACUUCAAUUCAACAUGAAAUUAAUCCCCCAGACCAUCAUUAGAGUGCAAAGGUGACCUGAGCAUCUGAGCCUUCAGGAAGACAUGCUUCAUGGAUCUCAAUUUGGAUUUCUGAACAGAGAAACAGGUAUCAUCAAUUACUGGUACUUGUAAUGCACAACAUUGCCAUGAAGAAAACGGAAUUAGCACAGAGCAUGCAGAGUACCUUCCAACUCCAUGAACAUUACAUGUGAAGCUUCAAGUUUGGUAUCUGCACAAUUUCUCAAUGGUUGAUGACAGAACAUCCUGAGAAGAUCACACUGGAGACCACUACUCUGAUCUAAGAUAUAAACUGCAAGUACUUUCCUGAUGAGGAGUAGGACUCUGUGUUUAUACCCUUAACCAAUGCUGUAACUGUGAUCUAUGGCAAGGGAAGAACAAGAUCUCAGGACUGCUUCAUCACCUUACGAAGAUAUUCAAAAAUACAUAAUACUAGAAGAAAUUUUUUUCUUUCAAUCUUAGAAUGUGGAGGGAAUCUUUCUUAAUUAGUGUACAGUUGACAGAGGAUACCUAGGGAGUUUAUUCCCAUGCUGAGAUACCAAUUCCUUACUACUGUCCACAGCAUUCUUAGAUACUUCCUUUUCAAAGUGAUUCUAGCAGAGGCAAAAAGUUCGUAGGUGUUCAUACUGUAAUUAAGAAUUAUUAUGGAAAAAGAAUUUUAUUAUGCAAAAAGUGUUUAUGCAUAGACAGUGGAUAGAAAGGCUCAAUUCUGCAACUCAUGUGUUAUCUUUGACUUUUUAAAAGGAGCUGUUCACUAGAGAGUAGCUGCAAGGAAUGGAAAAUUUGAUGAGCCAAACUGAGGAAGAUUGAUGAAGCAGAGAGCUGACAUCAAUUCACAUUGUGGUGUAAUCAUUUUUCUAUAAACGGUAUUUCUGAUACGGAGUCUCAGUGUACUUUGUAGUGAGGUUGCAAAUUCAAGCACUAAUGCAAUGCUUCCUGUCAGCAUCCUGAGAAGAUCACUCUGGAGACCACUACUCUGAUCUAUGAUAUAAACUGCAAGUACUUUCCUGAUGAAGAGUAGGACUCUGUGUUUAUACCCUUAACCAAUGCUGUAACUGAGCUGUUCACUAGAGAGAAAUCGCAAGAAAUGGAAAAUUUGAUGCGCCACACUGAGGAAGAUUGAGGAAGCAGAGAGCUGACAUCAAUUCACAUUAUGGUGUAAUCAUUUUUCCAUAAACAAAUAAUGUAAGAAUGGAGAUUUCCUUCAUUUUAAUAUCUACAUGGAUGAGAUUGGUGGCAUUAAGAAAGACAUUGAUGUGGAAACGUAAAGGAUAUUUGUGAUGGAUAUAUGACUAGUUUCUCCUUCAGAACACCAUGGCAGCAACCAAGGUAUCACCAAGAAGCCGUAGAAGCAAUAUGACUACAAAUGUGGUUACUGAGAAACGUAUCUAAUUGUGUUUCAACCCUCAGAGAUACUUCUGAUGUAAGGUAAGAAAUAUAGUAAAAAUAUAUGGGCCUGACAAUUUAAUAUUGGCUUUCAGUAUAGAGGAGAAAACUGUCUCCUGGGCUCUGUGGGAGUUCCAGUUGAGGUGGGCUUUAGGACAAGGAUCUCAUCUGUGUCCCUGGUUACAGGAGACCUGCUGGGAGACAGGCAAGCUAUAGGAUUUAGCAUGGAUCAGACAUGUUGAUCUCAUUUAUUAUGGAGUAAUUAGCUCUGAACAAUGGGUGAAGUAUACACCAGAAAGAGAGAUUGAAAGUAAAAUAGAAGAGACAGCAGAUCAGUUUCAGGCUAACAGCACCUCUCAGCUCACAUGAGGAAUCAAUGAUCUGGCAAUGUUCCAGGGGCAGGGACUGUGUCACACCUUCCCUUAUGCAGACAGGUAAUGUUCAAGGAGCCCAGAUUGAGACUGAGAGCUGAAAAACUGUGGCAAGGCUUUUCUGCUUUUAUAUUGUAGACAGGCACAAAAUGUCAAAUUUGGGAUACUCAGUAGGUACAAAACCAUGGUAAGAACAUGGGUGAAGAUCUAAACACUGUUUAUCCUACAGCUAUCUCGUUUCCAAAAUGUGUCUGAUUUAUAGGAGCUAUAACCCCAACUUGGUACCUUCUCUGAGUUAAAAGCCCACAGACUAGUGAAAAGCUCCAGAGACAUCAACUGAGCAAGUCCUAAGAUGAUAUUUUUUAAAAAUGAAAAAUAUAAAAAAUUAUUUUACAGCUGUGAAGGUCAAAAGUUUAAGAAGACCCAGAUUAUACUAUCAAUAAAUAACAACAUCUACCCCCACAAACCAGGAGCACAUUGGAGUCCUGUAGCAAUUAGUUUAGGUGUCUGAGGCAAUGACCUUUAAAGACAAUUCAGCACUGAAAUUCCUAGAGUUAUAGAAUCUUCCA